CAAGGUGGAGGAUUAGCCUAGUGAGCCGCGGCACCGGCCCAGGAGCUUCUUUGUGUUUCCCACAUGGGUAGCAGGGACCCAGGGACUUGGGCCAUGCUUUGCUGCUUUUUUGGGCCCAUCAGCUGGGAGCUGGAUUGGAAGUGGAGCAGCUGGGACUCAAACCGACACCCAUAUGGGAUGCCGGCACUGCAGGCAGAGCCUUAACCUGCGGUGCUACAGCGCUGGCCCUCAAUCACAUACAUUUAUUUCACACACGAUUCACAAGACAUGGAAGCCACCAGAAAUGAGGGCUUCUGUUCCCCCUCACCAGAUAAACAGAUGAUCUGACUUUUUAAAAUGCUUGGUUUUGUGACCCACAUAACAAGAGUCUGAGGAACCUCAUCCCGCUGGGUGAUCAGCCUAAAAGAGUCCCCCAAAUUGUUUUUCAGGCCCCGGCUUCAACCGACAAGAACCAUCUGGAAUGAGCCCUGCCCACAGCCAGGAUGACAGAGCAUGUACACUGCAAUCAACACGCAAGCCGUCUAAUAGGGAGUGGAUGAAGCUGUGUACUCAGGCUCCAGAACACAGCCAAGAAAUAAGACUGAGUGAACUAGGGCUGAGCAUGUCUACCCAGCUACAG
This 619-nucleotide long non-coding RNA is filed under the name Oryctolagus cuniculus (rabbit). Its description in RNAcentral is "lncRNA (ENSOCUG00000036392.1)". Lineage: Eukaryota; Metazoa; Chordata; Mammalia; Lagomorpha; Leporidae. The record is from RNAcentral.